GACCCGCGCCCUCGCGUCCGACGUCGUCCGUUUCUUCUUCCCUUCUCAAACGGACGCGCCGCCGCCGCUCUUCCUCGCAUCGUUUCUCCUUCCUCGUGUUUAAGGCAGUGGCCAAGGGAAGUCUCUCGCCUCUGCCCAUUCUUCUCCUCUUCCCCCUUCCUCGAGUGCCCUAGCCGACGCCCUUCUUCCCUCUGUGCUGCCACUGACCCCCUACAGUCGACGCGACUCACGGCCGAGCCCUAGCGCCGAUCGCGAUCUCCUCUGCCAACCACCGAGGAACCACGACGGUCGUCGCAGCCUGGGCUGAGCCCUAGCCGUCUCCACCACUGUCGUCUCCCUCACUGACUUCUCCCCUUUCAGGCGAUGCAGACGCCUCUUCCUCUUCUCUUUCUUGCCUGUGCCCUAGUCUCCAGCCGAUGUCUCCUUCUCGCUGACACCCGAGCACCACCGUUGACGAUCCUCUGCUUUCCCUCUGCCCUAGCUCCAACAACCGAUCUCAUCUGUACCCUUGCUGAGAUCUUAGAGUGAGGAGGAUUUCCAGCAGCUAUCUUUUCCUGGCAGCAACGAUCCUUGGCUGAGGAUCAAUAGAAGGGGGCUAUGAGGAAGAGUAGUGAGGAUUUGCUUUGUGGGGUUUUCUUGGUUUUGGUAGAAUUCCAUCCAGCAGCACUUUGUUUCCGCAGCGACUGUGAGUUUGAGGAUUCGGAUUAGGGAUGAGCACUUCGACAUAGAGGUUGAUUAGCUCGAUCUACAUUGGAGGCGGGU
Long non-coding RNA from Zingiber officinale, 762 nucleotides. RefSeq lists it as uncharacterized. Lineage: Eukaryota; Viridiplantae; Streptophyta; Magnoliopsida; Zingiberales; Zingiberaceae. The transcript has 4 exons. The record is from RefSeq and is a predicted model, not a curated record.